AAAGGGAGACCUAAUUCAGGUAGGAGACGAAAAAAAAGUAGUCGCUACCAAGAAUCAAUCCCAAAAGGUCGGAGCGAGGCGAAAUUGGCUUUCAAACUAGGUUCUGGGUUCAAACAAGACCUGAAUCAGGAACAAGGGCUAUUAGCUCAGGUGGUUAGAGCGCACCCCUGAUAAGGGUGAGGUCCCUGGUUCGAGUCCAGGAUGGCCCACCUGCACAGGUGGCAAAAACAAGAGAAGCUCCGAAUCAGCACCUUAUCUUACUUAUAUAGUAAGAGAGAAUGCUGGCUCUGAGUUCAGAGUCCAGAGGAACCUUGAAAACUGCAUAGAGCUAGGUGAAAAAGCCAAAAAAGAAGACCGCAAG
This 361-nucleotide transfer RNA is filed under the name uncultured Microcystis sp. RNAcentral describes it as "partial 16S-23S ribosomal RNA intergenic spacer". The stretch from base 136 to 209 matches the Rfam family "tRNA". Lineage: Bacteria; Bacillati; Cyanobacteriota; Cyanophyceae; Chroococcales; Microcystaceae. The record is from RNAcentral.